CAUAGCGACUAUCGUGGCAUAUCAAUAAGCGGAGGAAAAGAAACUAACAAGGAUUCCCCUAGUAACGGCGAGUGAAGCGGGAAGAGCUCAAAUUUGAAAUCUUAAAGGGUUUCCCUUUACGAAUUGUAGUUUAAAGAAGUGUUUUCUGUUGGAGUUUUGGUAAAAGUUCUUUGGAAUAGGACAUCAUAGAGGGUGAGAAUCCCGUAUUUGACCAUUAUUUCCAGCUGUGUGAUACACUUUCAAAGAGUCGGAUUGUUUGGGAAUGCAGUCCAAAAUGGGUGGUAAAUUUCAUCUAAAGCUAAAUAUUGGCGAGAGACCGAUAGCGAACAAGUACCGUGAGGGAAAGAUGAAAAGAACUUUGAAAAGAGAGUUAAACAGUACGUGAAAUUGUCAAAAGGGAAGCGUUUGACACCAGUGUUGUUUAGUUGAAAAUCAAUUCAAUAAUUUUUGAUUUUGAGUAGUAUUGACUUCAUCAGCUUGCUGCUUUCUUUUCAGGAAAUUAUUGAAUGCACUUUUCAGUUAACAAGUCAACAUCAAUUUCUUUUGUUGUAAAAGGGUAAGAGGAAGGUGGCAUACGUUUCGGCGUAAGUGUUUAUAGCCUUUUACCUCUGCAAUCGGAGAGAUUGAGGACAGCAGCGUAGACUCCUUCUGGGGUUAGAUACACUUGUGCUAAGCUAUAGCCUUGUAUAGACAACUUGUUGACUAUGCUCAGUCAUGUAGCUUACUCGCUUGUGCUAUUUUACCUACGCUUAGGAUGUUGAUAGUCACAGCGUGUAC
This 777-nucleotide ribosomal RNA is filed under the name uncultured Neocallimastigales. RNAcentral describes it as "partial large subunit ribosomal RNA". It matches the Rfam family "Eukaryotic large subunit ribosomal RNA", at positions 22 to 632 of the family's 3401-position model. The record is from RNAcentral. Lineage: Eukaryota; Fungi; Neocallimastigomycota; Neocallimastigomycetes; Neocallimastigales.